GUGCUCACUUCAGCAGCACAUAUACUAAAACUGGAAUGUUCCCGAGAAGAUUAGCAUGGCCCCUGCACAAGGAUGACACACAAAUUCGUGAAGCAUUCCAGAUUAAA
This is a small nuclear RNA of Suncus etruscus (white-toothed pygmy shrew), 107 nucleotides long. The record is from RefSeq and is a predicted model, not a curated record. NCBI's taxonomy places the organism in Eukaryota, Metazoa, Chordata, Mammalia, Eulipotyphla, Soricidae.